Molecule: ribosomal RNA, 581 nt
Filed under: uncultured Rhizophagus
Lineage: Eukaryota; Fungi; Glomeromycota; Glomeromycetes; Glomerales; Glomeraceae
Description: LSU rRNA
Rfam family: Eukaryotic large subunit ribosomal RNA
Source: RNAcentral
CAUGGAGGGUGAGAAUCCCGUCCGGUUGAUCAUUUGCGUUUUACGAUACGCUUUCUAAGAGUCAAGUUGUUUGGGAUUGCAGCUUAAAAUGGGAGGUAAAUUUCUCCUAAGGCUAAAUAACGGCGAGAGACCGAUAGCGAACAAGUACCGUGAGGGAAAGAUGAAAAGAACUUUGAAAAGAGAGUUAAACAGUACGUGAAAUUGUUGAAAGGGAAACGAUUGAAGCCAGUCGUACCUUCGGGUAAUCAGCCUUUCGGGUGCGAUUCUGUGGAGUUUGAGGAGCUUAACACCUUCAUGCUUUGCAUAUUCGUGCUCUUGGGUGUACUUGCUCGUAUGGUUGGUUAACAUCAAUUUUGGUGGUCAUAAAAUGACUGGAGGAAUGUAGCUUCGAUCUCGUAUUGAAGUGUUAUAGCCUUCGGUAGAUGUGAUGAUCGAGAUUGAGGAUUGCAACGGAUACCCUUCGGGGCUACCUGUCUGGUCUCUGAUCGUUGCUCUGGUGCCGAAAGCUUGCUUACGGUUGUCAAAGUCGAUGGUCAAUAGGUUAGAACGGGUUAAAUUCGUUAAGGAUGUUGACGUAAUGG